Molecule: ribosomal RNA, 2059 nt
Filed under: Klebsiella pneumoniae
Lineage: Bacteria; Pseudomonadati; Pseudomonadota; Gammaproteobacteria; Enterobacterales; Enterobacteriaceae
Description: partial 23S ribosomal RNA
Rfam family: Bacterial large subunit ribosomal RNA
Source: RNAcentral
AAGUACCCCGAGGAAAAGAAAUCAACCGAGAUUCCCCCAGUAGCGGCGAGCGAACGGGGAGCAGCCCAGAGUCUGAAUCAGCUUGUGUGUUAGUGGAACGGUCUGGAAAGUCCGACGGUACAGGGUGAUAGUCCCGUACACCAAAAUGCACAGGCUGUGAACUCGAAGAGUAGGGCGGGACACGUGGUAUCCUGUCUGAAUAUGGGGGGACCAUCCUCAAAAGAACCCCGGCGAGGGGAGUGAAAAAGAACCUGAAACCGUGUACGUACAAGCAGUGGGAGCACCUUCGGGUGUGACUGCGUACCUUUUGUAUAAUGGGUCAGCGACUUAUAUUCUGUAGCAAGGUUAACCGUAUAGGGGAGCCGCAGGGAAACCGAGUCUUAACUGGGCGUUAAGUUGCAGGGUAUAGACCCGAAACCCGGUGAUCUAGCCAUGGGCAGGUUGAAGGUUGGGUAACACUAACUGGAGGACCGAACCGACUAAUGUUGAAAAAUUAGCGGAUGACUUGUGGCUGGGGGUGAAAGGCCAAUCAAACCGGGAGAUAGCUGGUUCUCCCCGAAAGCUAUUUAGGUAGCGCCUCGUGAACUCAUCUUCGGGGGUAGAGCACUGUUUCGGCUAGGGGGUCAUCCCGACUUACCAACCCGAUGCAAACUACGAAUACCGAAGAAUGUUAUCACGGGAGACACACGGCGGGUGCUAACGUCCGUCGUGAAGAGGGAAACAACCCAGACCGCCAGCUAAGGUCCCAAAGUCAUGGUUAAGUGGGAAACGAUGUGGGAAGGCACAGACAGCCAGGAUGUUGGCUUAGAAGCAGCCAUCAUUUAAAGAAAGCGUAAUAGCUCACUGGUCGAGUCGGCCUGCGCGGAAGAUGUAACGGGGCUAAACCAUGCACCGAAGCUGCGGCAGCGACACUAUGUGUUGUUGGGUAGGGGAGCGUUCUGUAAGCCUGCGAAGGUGUGCUGUGAGGCAUGCUGGAGGUAUCAGAAGUGCGAAUGCUGACAUAAGUAACGAUAAAGCGGGUGAAAAGCCCGCUCGCCGGAAGACCAAGGGUUCCUGUCCAACGUUAAUCGGGGCAGGGUGAGUCGACCCCUAAGGCGAGGCCGAAAGGCGUAGUCGAUGGGAAACAGGUUAAUAUUCCUGUACUUGGUGUUACUGCGAAGGGGGGACGGAGAAGGCUAUGUUAGCCGGGCGACGGUUGUCCCGGUUUAAGCAUGUAGGCUGAUUGUCCAGGCAAAUCCGGAUAAUCAAGGCUGAGGUGUGAUGACGAGGCACUACGGUGCUGAAGUAACAAAUGCCCUGCUUCCAGGAAAAGCCUCUAAGCAUCAGGUAACAUUAAAUCGUACCCCAAACCGACACAGGUGGUCAGGUAGAGAAUACCAAGGCGCUUGAGAGAACUCGGGUGAAGGAACUAGGCAAAAUGGUGCCGUAACUUCGGGAGAAGGCACGCUGGUGUGUAGGUGAAGUCCCUGCGGAUGGAGCUGAGACCAGUCGAAGAUACCAGCUGGCUGCAACUGUUUAUUAAAAACACAGCACUGUGCAAACACGAAAGUGGACGUAUACGGUGUGACGCCUGCCCGGUGCCGGAAGGUUAAUUGAUGGGGUUAUCCGUAAGGAGAAGCUCUUGAUCGAAGCCCCGGUAAACGGCGGCCGUAACUAUAACGGUCCUAAGGUAGCGAAAUUCCUUGUCGGGUAAGUUCCGACCUGCACGAAUGGCGUAAUGAUAUGCAGUGUACCCGCGGCAAGACGGAAAGACCCCGUGAACCUUUACUAUAGCUUGACACUGAACAUUGAGCCUUGAUGUGUAGGAUAGGUGGGAGGCUUGGAAGCGUGGACGCCAGUCUGCGUGGAGCCAACCUUGAAAUACCACCCUUUACUGUUUGAUGUUCUAACGUUGGCCCCUGACCGGGGUUGCGGACAGUGUCUGGUGGGUAGUUUGACUGGGGCGGUCUCCUCCCAAAGAGUAACGGAGGAGCACGAAGGUUAGCUAAUCCUGGUCGGACAUCAGGAGGUUAGUGCAAUGGCAUAAGCUAGCUUGACUGCGAGCGUGACGGCGCGAGCA